UGGAACAAAAGGGUAAAA
RNAcentral lists this small nuclear RNA (18 nucleotides) under Arabidopsis thaliana (thale cress). Its description in RNAcentral is "snRNA_15732". Lineage: Eukaryota; Viridiplantae; Streptophyta; Magnoliopsida; Brassicales; Brassicaceae. The record is from RNAcentral.